AUUGAACGCUGGCGGCAUGCUUUACACAUGCAAGUCGAACGGCAGCACGGGAGCUUGCUCCUGGUGGCGAGUGGCGAACGGGUGAGUAAUGCAUCGGAACGUACCCAGUAGUGGGGGGAUAGCCCGGCGAAAGCCGGAUUAAUACCGCAUAUUUCCUGAGGGAGAAAGCGGGGGACCUUCGGGCCUCGCGCUACUGGAGCGGCUGAUGUCGGAUUAGCUAGUUGGUGAGGUAAAGGCUCACCAAGGCGACGAUCCGUAGCUGGUCUGAGAGGAUGAUCAGCCACACUGGGACUGAGACACGGCCCAGACUCCUACGGGAGGCAGCAGUGGGGAAUUUUGGACAAUGGGGGCAACCCUGAUCCAGCCAUGCCGCGUGAGUGAAGAAGGCCUCGGUUGU
Molecule: ribosomal RNA, 397 nt
Filed under: uncultured bacterium
Lineage: Bacteria
Description: bacterial SSU rRNA
Rfam family: Bacterial small subunit ribosomal RNA
Source: RNAcentral